GAUGAACGCUGGCGGCGUGCCUAAUACAUGCAAGUCGGGCGAACGGACGAGAAGCUUGCUUCUCUGAUGUUAGCGGCGGACGGGUGAGUAACACGUGGAUAACCUACCUAUAAGACUGGGAUAACUUCGGGAAACCGGAGCUAAUACCGGAUAAUAUUUUGAACCGCAUGGUUCAAAAGUGAAAGACGGUCUUGCUGUCACUUAUAGAUGGAUCCGCGCUGCAUUAGCUAGUUGGUAAGGUAACGGCUUACCAAGGCGACGAUGCAUAGCCGACCUGAGAGGGUGAUCGGCCACACUGGAACUGAGACACGGUCCAGACUCCUACGGGAGGCAGCAGUAGGGAAUCUUCCGCAAUGGGCGAAAGCCUGACGGAGCAACGCCGCGUGAGUGAUGAAGGUCUUCGGAUCGUAAAACUCUGUUAUUAGGGAAGAACAUAUGUGUAAGUAACUGUGCACAUCUUGACGGUACCUAAUCAGAAAGCCACGGCUAACUACGUG
This 497-nucleotide ribosomal RNA is filed under the name uncultured bacterium. RNAcentral's name for it is "partial 16S ribosomal RNA". It matches the Rfam family "Bacterial small subunit ribosomal RNA", at positions 28 to 507 of the family's 1533-position model. The record is from RNAcentral.